CUGCACUUCCCAGGCUGAAAAAAAGAUCAGUUGAAGGAGUUCCUGGCAGAGAGGAUUCUACAAUGAAAGACAAGUAGUUCAAGCCAAAGGCUUUUCAAGGCUUGCAACUUGGCUGAUGAUUGUCCAGUUAUUGACUAUCCCUGGUUACGUCUACACUAGAACCAGGGCCUAAGUAAUUGCCAAAUUGAAUUAUUGGCCAAGCUAAUAGAAGGAAAUCAUCAUCAUCAUCAUCAUCAUCAUCAUCAUCAUCAUCAUCAUCA
Non-coding RNA from Python bivittatus (Burmese python), 260 nucleotides. The record is from RefSeq and is a predicted model, not a curated record. NCBI's taxonomy places the organism in Eukaryota, Metazoa, Chordata, Lepidosauria, Squamata, Pythonidae.